CCUGAGCUAUCAGACCAACACCUGUAGUACCAGCAUACCACAGGCCACAUAAGGUAGUAACCAUGUGAAUGUGAACCUGUAGUACCAGCAUACCGAGGAUAGUAAAAUCGCAGUGUACUCUUUGUCCCGGCCCAUCUGAACCUGUAAUAUGGCACACUGCCUACAGUGUGCCCUCGAGGUAGGUACUAGGCUACUAGCAGCGCGUAUCGUCUUAGUAGACGUAGUUCUUGACGAACAUUCCCUCCUUGGCCUCGGCGGCCUCGCCGUCGGAGGUGUACUUGCCGAGCUGCGCCAGGGAGUUGGCCUUGGCGCGGAGCAGCAGAGCAUCCUGAGCCGCCUUCACGUUCUCUGGCCGGCCGCCCCAUGUCUUGAGGCAGGUGUUCUGAAGAGCCCUGGCGUAGGAGAAGGACACAUGCCACGGGUUGGGGCUCUGGUUCAUGGCGUUCAGGUUCUGGGUCGCCUCAACCUCAGACUGCCCACCAGACAGGAACUGCAUUUUUGUUUGGGUGCAACAGCAAAACAAUUUCAGUCGUCAGAACACCAUAUGAAUUUCUUGGCAAGUAUAUGCAUAUGCAGCAAGAGGAAAAAAUGUUACAGACCAUGAUGCCGGGGACGGCAGGAGGGAU
This 626-nucleotide long non-coding RNA is filed under the name Setaria italica (foxtail millet). Its description in RNAcentral is "long non-coding RNA (SITA_LNC005659)". The record is from RNAcentral. Lineage: Eukaryota; Viridiplantae; Streptophyta; Magnoliopsida; Poales; Poaceae.